This 2604-nucleotide ribosomal RNA is filed under the name Durio zibethinus. RNAcentral describes it as "eukaryotic LSU rRNA". It matches the Rfam family "Eukaryotic large subunit ribosomal RNA", at positions 1 to 2598 of the family's 3401-position model. The record is from RNAcentral. Lineage: Eukaryota; Viridiplantae; Streptophyta; Magnoliopsida; Malvales; Malvaceae.
AUAUUUCAUAGUCAGAGGUAAAAUUCUUAAAUUUAUGAAAAAUGAACAACUACGAAAGCAUUUGCCAAGGAUGUUUUCAAAGAGUGCUUGAAAUUGUCAAGAGGGAAGUGGAUAGGGACUACCAUGUGCCCCAAUCAAAUAUGGAAUGGCUAGAGUCAGUCCGUCAAUUGACUUAGGGCAUGGACUAUUACAGAUUGUGAUGAUGGCCUAAGACUAGGCUUUUGAUAUGCCCAUAGAGAUGUCAUUAUUUCUAUCAUGGAAUGAAGCACAUGCUAUCUCAGCAUGCCUUGGCACCUAUGUGCUCCAAGCAUCAACCUGCAAGCUUCUCAUUCAACCUAUCUUGAAACACGAACCAAGGAGUCUGACAUGUGUGCAAGUUAAUAGGUUAGAAAACUUAUAAGGCAUAAUGAAGUUGAUUGACAAGAUCCUUUACGGGUGCACCUCUGACUGAGCUUAAUCUUCUGAAAAGGGCAUACCUAUCAGGACUCGAAAGAUAAUGAGCUAUGCCUAAGCAAAGCGAAGCCAGAGGAAACUCUAGUGGAGGCCUACAGUGAUACUAAUAUGAAAAAUAUUCAUAUGACUUGGGUAUAGGGGCAAAAGACUAAUCGAACCAUCUAGUAACUAGUUCUAUCUGAAGUUUUCCUCAAGAUAGUUAGAGCCCUUAGCAAGUUCUAUUAAGUAAAGCCAAUGAUUAGAGGCAUCGAGGUUGUAACACCCUCGAUCUAUUCUCAAACUUUAAAUAAAUAGGAUGGAAAAGAUGCUUCAUUGAGUCGUGCCAGAGAAUCAAGAGCUCUAAGUGGGCCAUUUUUGGUAAGUAAAACUAGCGAUGCAGGAUAAAUCAGAAUAUGAGUUAUGAUGCCUAAUUGCAUGCUAACCUAGGACCCAUAAAAGGGUGUUGGUUGAUUAAGACAGCAAGACGGUGGUCAUGGAAGUCAAAAUCUACUAAAGAGCAUAUCACAACUCACCUGCCAAAUCAACUAGCCCCAAAAAUGGAUGACGUUUAAGCGUGCAACCUAUACCUGACCAUCAAAGUAAGGGCUAGGCCCCAAUGAGUAAAAAGGUGCUAUAGUUGCCGUAAAACCUAAGGUAUGAGCCCGAGUGAAAUGGUCAUCAAUGCAGAUUUUGAUGGUAGUAACAAAUAUUCAAAUGAGAACUUUUAAAGCUAAAAAAGAAAAAGGUUUUAUGUGAAUGGCACUUGCACAUGGGUUAGUUAAUCCUAAAAGAUAGGGGAGGCCUAUCCGAUAGCUUGUCCAGCAUGAGCUUCGAAAGGGAAUCAGGUUAAAAUUCUUGAACUAAGAUGCGAUGACUAACAACAACGUUAAGGAGUCCAGUAACGUCAACGAAGGCUUCAAGAAGAGUUAUCUUUUUCUGUUUAAUGGCCUACCCACCCUAGAAAUGGCUCAGGCAGAGGUAGGGUACAACGACCAAAAGAACACUGCAUGUCGCAUAGUGCCCGGUAUGCCCUUGGUGCCCCUUGAAAAUUUGAAGGAUCGAGUGCUAUUCAUGCCCUAUCGUACUUAAAUUGCAUCAAGUCUUUAAUGUGAAUAGCCUUUGGUGGAUGGAACAAUGUAGGCAAGAGAAAUCAGCAAAAUGAAUCAAUAAUCUCGGGAAAACAAAUUAGCUCUGAAAGUUGGGCAUAGGGGUCCUAGUCCAAACCCAUCAGCUAUCGGUGCACUGCUCGAGCUACUCCCAUAGUAAGAGUGGGUCACCAUGUGUCGAUCGAGGGAUGAACUAGGAAUGACUCCGUUAAGGGCCUAUCUUAAAUGAUAAGUAGUUGACUCAAUACUCGUAUGAACAAGGAGAAUUUGACUAUUUAAUUAAAACAAAUCAUUGCAAUGGUCCUUGCAGAUAUUCAUGCAAUGUGAUUUCUACCUAGUGCUCUAAAUUUCAAAGUGAAGAAAUUCAACCAAGCGCGAGUAAAUGAUGGGAGCAACUAUGACUCUUUUAAGUUAGCCAAAUGCCUCGUCAUCUAAUUAGUGAUGUGCAUGAAUGGAUUAAUGAGAUUCCCACUAUCUCUAUCUAUUAUCCAAUGAAACCAUAACCAAGGAAAUGAGCUUAGCAGAAUCAAUGAAGAAAGAAGACCCUUUUGAGCUUGACUCCAAUCUGACUUUGUGAAAUGACUUAAGAGGUGUAGGACAAGUGGAAGCCUUCAAGCGAAAUUGAAAUAUCACUGUCAUAACAUAUAGAUUCAUAAAUCUAUAGCUAGACUUAACAAAUAGAGUUGCCACCAAUCUUUUUUUUACUAAGUGUGAUUGGCCACCUAAGGAAUAUACCCUUUUAAGGAGCUCCUAAGCUUGAUUAAGGGUCCCUAAAAGAAUAGGUUCGGGUCUACAAAUCAGAAUAGGUUUUGGGAGUUCGAUUACAUAUGGGGAAGGUUAUAGCACCCCCCAUAUACCCAUUCAAAUGAUGGUACCAUUUUAUUUUAAAUUUAUCCUAAGGUCUUAAUUCUAAUGGUUUUAAACUUUAUGCUGAAUAUUGAAAAUAAUUCUUAAGAUUCUCCAUCAAUUUGGUAGAAUUCUUUAAAAUAUUUUCUCACCUCAAGAGUAUUCAAGAAUCUCAUUUAUUUUCUUAAAGAGGCUCUAUCGUCGAAAAAAAGGUUUAAUU